This 700-nucleotide long non-coding RNA is filed under the name Suricata suricatta (meerkat). Its description in RNAcentral is "lncRNA (ENSSSUG00005022104.1)". The record is from RNAcentral. Lineage: Eukaryota; Metazoa; Chordata; Mammalia; Carnivora; Herpestidae.
GGUGGGUCCCCGCCCAUGCCCAGCACGUCCUGAGGAACAGCUGCCAGCUACCCAGGUGUCCGCAGGGCCCCCCAGCCUCAGCAGAGUUGGCAGAGGCCCACUGUGGAUGUGCUGGACUUUGGCCCACAGAUCUAUGCGCUGUUGCACCUACAGGAACGACCUGAAGAUGAGAAGAAGACAGCCAGCCCGAGAAAGGGCCAAAGAGCCUGCGAAGUAGUUUUCGAAGUAAAUGGAGAGUGCAGAGAUCUGAGCACAGGAAAGGAAGAGGCUGGAAACCUGGCAUGCCCUUUCUGCCCCUGAGCUGCCUGCCCCUGAGUGUGGUUUCCAGAAUUGCCCUGCUUGCUGCUCCUUUGCAUACUCUUCUCUGGAAAGUGAGUCACUUUUCCAUUCUAAGUAUUGUAUCUUAUUUGGUGUGAGGUUGUGGCAUAAGGUUGGGCCUGUUUUUAUUUGUUUCAUCUUGGAAAUUUCAUCAUGGAAGACAUGUUCCUCACUGUUUUUACUUUGUAAGUUCACUUCACUCACUUCCAAGAGUGAUUUCAAAAGGGACUUCAAGAAUCUGUGCUUAUAUGGCCAUUUUAUUAUAACAUUAAAACAUAAAAAUGUUUCAGCCUCUCCUUUGAAAAAAAGUUUGGCAUAUUUGUUUAGUGAAUGCAUGGACACCAUGGUGCAUUCUGUUGAAGACUGCAAUGCAUACUAGAAC